GAUUAGCUGAUGGGGAACUCAUCGGCGCAGCUAACGCAUUAAAUCAUCCGCCUGAGUAGUAUGCUCGCAAGAGUGAAACUUAAAGGAAUUGACGGGGAUCCGCACAAGCGGUGGAGCAUGUGGUUUAAUUUGAAGAUACGCGUAGAACCUUACCCACUCUUGACAUCUUCUGCAAAGCUAUAGAGAUAUAGUAAAAAAAGAACGGAAUGACAGAUGGUGCAUGGUUGUCGUCAGCUCGUGUCAUGAGAGGUUCGGUUAAGUCCUGCAACGAGCGCAACCCUUGUCUUUAGUUCGAUGAUUUAGGGAGACUGCCCGGGUAACCGGGAGGAAGGUGGGGACGACGUCAAAUCAUCAUGCCUCUUACGAGUGGGGCAACACACGUGCUACAAUGGAUGGUACAAAGAGAAGCAAUACGGCGACGUGGAGCAAAUCUCAAAAAACCAUUCUCAGUUCGGAUUGUAGUCUGCAACUCGACUACAUGAAGUCGGAAUCGCUAGUAAUCGUAGAUCAGCUACGCUACGGUGAAUACGUUCUCGGGUCUUGUACACACCGCCCGUCACACCAUGGGAGCUGGUAAUGCCCGAAGUCGGUUUUGUUAACUACGGAGACAACUGCCUAAGGCAGGACUGGUGACUGGGGUG
This 641-nucleotide ribosomal RNA is filed under the name Mycoplasmopsis gallinacea. RNAcentral's name for it is "bacterial SSU rRNA". It matches the Rfam family "Bacterial small subunit ribosomal RNA", at positions 814 to 1482 of the family's 1533-position model. The record is from RNAcentral. Lineage: Bacteria; Bacillati; Mycoplasmatota; Mycoplasmoidales; Metamycoplasmataceae.